This 336-nucleotide ribosomal RNA is filed under the name uncultured Lachnospiraceae bacterium. RNAcentral describes it as "bacterial SSU rRNA". It matches the Rfam family "Bacterial small subunit ribosomal RNA", at positions 1 to 339 of the family's 1533-position model. Lineage: Bacteria; Bacillati; Bacillota; Clostridia; Lachnospirales; Lachnospiraceae. The record is from RNAcentral.
AGUAGUUUGAUCAGUGGCUCGAGGACGACGCUGGCGGCGCGCCUAACACAUGCAAGUCGAACGGAGCUUGGAGAGCUUGCUUUUCAAGCUUAGUGGCGGACGGGUGAGUAACACGUGAGCAACCUGCCUUUCAGAGGGGGACAACAGUUGGAAAUUACUGCUAAUACCGCAUAAGCGCACAGUUUCGCAUGAAACAGUGUGAAAAGAUUUAUCGGGAUAAGAUGGACCCGCGUCUGAUUAGCUAGUUGGUGAGGUAACGGCCCACCAAGGCGACGAUCAGUAGCCGGCCUGAGAGGGUGAACGGCCACAUUGGGACUGAGACACGGCCCAAACUCC